RNAcentral lists this ribosomal RNA (519 nucleotides) under uncultured eukaryote. RNAcentral describes it as "SSU rRNA". It matches the Rfam family "Eukaryotic small subunit ribosomal RNA", at positions 1161 to 1702 of the family's 1831-position model. The record is from RNAcentral.
AGGGCACCACCAGGAGUGGAGCCUGCGGCUUAAUUUGACUCAACACGGGGAAACUCACCCGGCCCGGACACCGUAAGGAUUGACAGAUUGAUAGCUUUUUCAUGAUUCGGUGGGUGGUGGUGCAUGGCCGUUCUUAGUUCGUGGAGCGAUUUGUCUGGUUUAUUCCGAUAACGAGCGAGACUCUAGCCUACUAAAUAGUUCGCACAUUGUCAACUUGUGUGCGCCUACUUCUUAGAGGGAUUUUCGGUGUUCAGCCGCACGAGAUUGAGCAAUAACAGGUCUGUGAUGCCCUUAGAUGUCCGGGGCUGCACGCGCGCUACACUGGCGAAAUCAGCGUGCUUAUCCUUUCUCGAAAGGGAUUGGUAAACCAUUGAAAAUUUGCCGUGAUUGGGAUCGGAAAUUGCAAUUAUUUUCCGUGAACGAGGAAUUCCAAGUAAGUGCGAGUCAUCAACUCGCGUUGAUUACGUCCCUGCCCUUUGUACACACCGCCCGUCGCUACCCGGGACUGAGCCAUUUCGA